Molecule: ribosomal RNA, 292 nt
Filed under: uncultured bacterium
Lineage: Bacteria
Description: partial 16S ribosomal RNA
Rfam family: Bacterial small subunit ribosomal RNA
Source: RNAcentral
GUGUCAGCAGCCGCGGUAAAACGUAGGAGACAAGCGUUAUCCGAAUUUACUGGGCGUAAAGCGCGUGCAGGUGGUUGGGUAAGUUGAAUGUGAAAUCUCCUGGCUCAACUGGGAGAGGCCGUUCAAGACUGCCUGACUAGAGGGCGGUAGAGGGAGGUGGAAUUCCCGGUGUAGUGGUGAAAUGCGUAGAUAUCGGGAGGAACACCUGUGGCGAAAGCGGCCUCCUGGACCGUACCUGACGCUCAGACGCGAAAGCUAGGGGAGUGAACGGGAUUAGAAACCCGUGUAGUCC